This is a long non-coding RNA of Magnolia sinica, 859 nucleotides long. RefSeq lists it as uncharacterized. The record is from RefSeq and is a predicted model, not a curated record. NCBI's taxonomy places the organism in Eukaryota, Viridiplantae, Streptophyta, Magnoliopsida, Magnoliales, Magnoliaceae. The transcript has 2 exons.
UACUGUGUAAAUUCCAGAUGUUGAUGGGAUUCAUCUGCUAGCACAAUGGUUUGAUUUUCAGAUUCAUUGCUCCGAUGACAACCGGAUGUCAGAUUCAUUGCUCCUUGCGUGUGUACUAGUUGAUUUUGGAGGUUCUUUUAUAAUGGUAUUGGAUAUUUGCUGAUUUUUAUUUUUAUUUUAUUUUAUUUAUUUAUUAUUAUUAUUAUUAUUUUUGUAGUUGAAAUGCUGAAUUGAUUAAGUUUUUACAUAUGCCAAUUAGGCCGUAGACUACAAAUGCUAGUUGUUGUUUCCAUGUGUUUGAUGGAUGAACUAACUUGAAGGCUUCUUCUUCUUCUGUGCUAUUUCCACUAUUUAUCACCAGAGCAUACUGUUCCCAGCCUCAUCAUGAGAUCAGGAAGCAAGCUUGCUCAGAUCGGUGACGUAACAUUGCAUGCAGAGUAAAUUUUUUUAUAUUAAAUUAUUUUAUUUUAAUAAUUACAGAGUUGAAAUAUUAGAAUCCUUAAGAAUGGAUGGAGUCCGGAUAUUUUCCUACUUGAUUUUGUAACCUGGUCGCUGAAGUUAUGGUAUUGAUAUUUAAUGUAAACAGAUGUUAGGGGCUAUUGUCAGCCUCAUGGAAGAUAGACCUGAGCUAAAUGAAAAGGUGGUCCAAAUAUCCGGUAGUUCCGAGCAGGCUGAGAGAGCCCAGAGCCUUCUCCAGGGAUUUAUUCUGAGCACACAAGAUGCCACACCAAGCUAAAUCUGAGCUAUGGGUGUUGUAAAGCCGAGAUCUUGUAAGGUAGCAAUGGAUGCUUUCAGUUUUCACCAGUAAUCUGUUUUCCCAGAAUCUAGCAGUUAUCAACAAUCUUUGUAUAAAAGGUAA